UCUCAAAGAUUAAGCCAUGCAUGUCUAAGUACAUACCAUUUUAAGGUGAAACCGCGAAUAGCUCAUUAAAUCAGUUACGGUUCAUUGGAUAUUAAACUUUACAUGGAUAACUGUGGUAAUUCUAGAGCUAAUACAUGCAUGAAAGCUUUUUUUUUUUCUUUUUUAGUUGAUAGAGAAAAAUUAAGUUUUUUUUCUAUUUUUACUAAUUUAAGAAAAAAGAAAAGUGCAUUUAUUAGACCAAGACCAAUGAUUAUAUAUAUCUAAUAAAUAUAUAUAAUGUUAAAUAUAUGGUGACUCUGAAUAACUGAGCUAAUCGCAUGGCCUAUGCGCCGGCGAUGUAUCCUUCAAGCGUCUGCCUUAUCAACUUUCGAUGGUAGGUUAUGCGCCUACCAUGGUUGUAACGGGUGACGGGGAAUCAGGGUUCGAUUCCGGAGAGGGAGCCUGAGAAACGGCUACCACAUCCAAGGAAGGCAGCAGGCACGCAAAUUACCCACUCCCAGCACGGGGAGGUAGUGACGAAAAAUAACAAUACGGGACUCAUUGAGUCUCCGUAAUUGGAAUGAGUACAAUAUAAAUCCUUUAACGAGUAUCUAUUGGAGGGCAAGUCUGGUGCCAGCAGCCGCGGUAAUUCCAGCUCCAAUAGCGUAUAUUAAAGUUGUUGCGGUUAAAAAGCUCGUAGUUGUAUCUCAGCUUAUGUUAAACAGUCCUACACAUUUAUAAUCUUAGCCUCAUAUCUAUCCUAUUAUUUAUUUAUCUUCAUAAUUCUCUCUCGGUUGUUUUUGUUGUUUUAUGCUAUAUCAUAUAUAUAUUUUAUGAUGAUAUAUAUGUUUGUACUUUGCUGUAAAUCUAUAUUUCAUUUAUAAGCUGUUUUAUACACUUGUAAGUGUUUAAAAAAUAUAGCUUUCACAAAUACACAUAUUUUCUCAUAUAUAUAUAUAUAUAUACAUAAACAUACUUACACUGUAGUAGUAGAAUAUUAAUGUUGGUAAAGGUAAUAUGGUUAUAGUAUGAGGAAUUUAAGAUUAUCAUAAUUGUGAGGAAUAAACCUGUUUGACUGAGCAUAACUGAUUUGUUUAUUGAUGCUCUUCACCGAGUGUCAUUAACGAUCAGUAUCUUUACUUUGAAAAAAUUAGAGUGCUCAAAGCAGGCAUUAAAAGCCUGAAUAUUAUUGCAUGGAAUAAUGGAAUAGGACCUAGGUUCUAUUCUGUUGGUCUUUUUUGAACCUAAGGUAAUGAUUAAGAGGGACAGACGGGGGCAUUCGUAUUGCGACGCUAGAGGUGAAAUUCUUGGACCGUCGUAAGACGAACUACAGCGAAAGCAUUUGCCAAGAAUGUUUUCAUUAAUCAAGAACGAAAGUUAGAGGUUCGAAGGCGAUCAGAUACCGCCCUAGUUCUAACCAUAAACGAUGCCAACCAGCGAUCAGCCUGAGUCUACUUUUUAUGACUCGGCUGGAAGCUUCCGGGAAACCAAAGUUUUUGGGUUCCGGGGGAAGUAUGGUUGCAAAGCUGAAACUUAAAGGAAUUGACGGAAGGGCACCACCAGGAGUGGAGCCUGCGGCUUAAUUUGACUCAACACGGGAAAACUCACCCGGCCCGGACACUGAGAGGAUUGACAGAUUGAGAGCUCUUUCUUGAUUCAGUGGGUGGUGGUGCAUGGCCGUUCUUAGUUGGUGGAGUGAUUUGUCAGGUUAAUUCCGAUAACGAACGAGACUCUAGCCUACUAAAUAGACUUACCAUCUCAUUAUCUUUCAUUAUCUACAAUUAUUAUAUAUGUAUAUAUAUAUAAUUAUACAUAUAUAUAUCUAUAUGUGUAUAUAUUUAUAUAUAUGAGUUUUAUAUAUGAGUAUGUAUAUGUGUAUGAUAUAUAUGUAUGCAAAUAUGUAUAUGUUGUAUGUGUAUAUAUAUUUAUAUAUGAAUUCUUUAUAUAUAUAAGUGUAUGUGUGUAUAAGUAUAUAUAUAUGUAGAUUAUAUAUGUUGCAUAUAUGAUUGUAUGAUAUGAUUGAGCGCGAUGGAAGAACUUCUUAGAGGGACAGGUGGCGUUUAUGCAGCCACACGAGACAGAGCAAUAACAGGUCUGUGAUGCCCUUAGAUGUCCGGGGCCGCACGCGCGCUACAAUGAAGGCGACAACAUGCAUAAUUUUCCCUCUCUGAGAAGAGUGGGUAACCAUAUGAAAAUCCUUCGUAAUAGGGACUGGGCAUUGUAAUUAUUGCCCACGAACGAGGAAUUCCCAGUAAGCGUGAGUCAUAAGCUUGCGUUGAUUACGUCCCUGCCCUUUGUACACACCGCCCGUCGCUACUACCGAUUGAAUGAUUUAGUGAAGUCCUCGGACUGGCUUGUUCGUAUAUUGUAUUGUAUACGGGCUAUGCUGGAAAGAUGCCCAAACUUGAUCAUUUAGAGGAAGUAAAAGUCGUAA
Molecule: ribosomal RNA, 2413 nt
Filed under: Harpyrhynchoides zumpti
Lineage: Eukaryota; Metazoa; Arthropoda; Arachnida; Trombidiformes; Harpirhynchidae
Description: partial 18S ribosomal RNA
Rfam family: Eukaryotic small subunit ribosomal RNA
Source: RNAcentral